RNAcentral lists this ribosomal RNA (449 nucleotides) under uncultured bacterium. RNAcentral's name for it is "partial 16S ribosomal RNA". It matches the Rfam family "Bacterial small subunit ribosomal RNA", at positions 29 to 523 of the family's 1533-position model. The record is from RNAcentral.
AGCGAACGCUGGCGGCAGGCCUAACGCAUGCAAGUCGAACGAACUCUUCGGAGUUAGUGGCGGACGGGUGAGUAACACGUGGGAACGUGCCUUUAGGUUCGGAAUAACUCAGGGAAACUUGUGCUAAUACCGAAUGUGCCCUUCGGGGGAAAGAUUUAUCGCCUUUAGAGCGGCCCGCGUCUGAUUAGCUAGUUGGUGAGGUAAAGGCUCACCAAGGCGACGAUCAGUAGCUGGUCUGAGAGGAUGAUCAGCCACAUUGGGACUGAGACACGGCCCAAACUCCUACGGGUGGCAGCAGUGGGGAAUCUUGCGCAAUGGGCGAAAGCCUGACGCAGCCAUGCCGCGUGAAUGAUGAAGGUCUUAGGAUUGUAAAAUUCUUUCACCGGGGACGAUAAUGACGGUACCCGGAGAAGAAGCCCCGGCUAACUUCGUGCCAGCAGCCGCCGUAA